Molecule: ribosomal RNA, 394 nt
Filed under: Typhloligidium sp.
Lineage: Eukaryota; Metazoa; Arthropoda; Malacostraca; Isopoda; Ligiidae
Description: partial large subunit ribosomal RNA
Rfam family: Bacterial large subunit ribosomal RNA
Source: RNAcentral
GUCUGAACUCAGAUCAUGUGAUCUGACUGUUGUAAGGUAGCAUAAUAAUUUGUCUUUUAAUUGAAGACUGGAAUAAACGAGUUGACGAAGAGAAAGCUGUCUCUUUAAGGCCCCUUUAACUUGCCUUUAAGGUCAAAAGGCCUUACAAAACCAAAGGGACGACAAGACCCUAAAAACUUUACCCCUUUCUAAAUGAAUAAGAAAAUUAAACCCUGGGGUUUCACUGGGGCGGUGAAUUGCAACAAAACUUAAUCUAACACUCUGAGUGAAAUGAAAGUACACACAUAUGUACACAAGAACUAGUUACUUUAGGGAUAACAGCGCAAUUUUUCCAGAGAGUCCUAAUCGGCGGAAAAGAUUACGACCUCGAUGUUGAAUUGAAACUCCUCCUGAA